CUCUCUGGGUCUCUCUCUCUCUCUCUCUCUCUCUCUGCCUUUUCUUUUCUUUCUUUUUUUUAGUUUUCGCACGUUAUUUCCGUGCCUGUGGAGGAGCAGUCUCUUGAUCCAAGCAUCGCAAGGUGUGAAAGUGUCGCAUCCACCCACCUGUGGACCUGUGCGGGAUGUACAAUGGGCUUACCUGCUGGACUGCAGCCCUGUAGGCUCUUCUGGCCUCAGGGUGCAGUUGGGCUUGUGCGCGUGCAGUUGGAUCCAUUAUAAUACCAAACAUGGAAAAUAGCUGCAAGACACAAACAGAGGAUUGGUCCUUCUGGAGCAGAGACCGCCUACUUCCUGGUUGCUGUCCCCUGGCAUCUGUGAUUGGUGUGGCUGCGAUUCCACCAAAGCUACCAAUCAGGAGUCUUCAAUCAACCCCAGCUGCACUUAAAUAGCUUGUGUGUCCACAGUUCAGAGCGGCUGUGAACUAGUGAUCAGUUUGCACACCAUUGUGUUAGUCUAGAGUGUUUGUAUUUCCUAGUAUUGCCUGGCUGUUAUCUGAGUGGAUUCAGCCAGUGCCCUCGUAAUCUUGAGACCUUUAAGUUGCAGAAUAACUGCUAGUUUGUUUUUUGUUCACUAGUUUGUAAGCUUAUGGGUGCUGAUCUCUUUUUGUUCUUUAGUGUCAUUCAGUCAUCUUCAUUUUGUGUACUAGUUAUUUGUCAGUACCUGUAUAGCCUCUCUUUUGUUAUAUUUCAUUGUGCAAGCGCACUCUCCUUAGUUAAUGAAACACCUGAUUUUAACCUGAA
Molecule: long non-coding RNA, 782 nt
Organism: Dicentrarchus labrax (European seabass)
Lineage: Eukaryota; Metazoa; Chordata; Actinopteri; Moronidae
Exons: 3
Source: RefSeq, a predicted model, not a curated record